CCUACGGGUGGCAGCAGUGAGGAAUAUUGGUCAAUGGGCGCGAGCCGGAACCAGCCAAGUAGCGUGAAGGAUGACUGCCCUACGGGUUGUAAACUUCUUUUAUAAAGGAAUAAAGUGAGGCACGUGUGCCUCUUUGUAUGUACCUUAUGAAUAAGGAUCGGCUAACUCCGCGCCAGCAGCCGCGGUAAUACGGAGGAUCCGAGCGUUAUCCGGAUUUAUUGGGUUUAAAGGGAGCGUAGAUGGGUUGUUAAGUCAGUUGUGAAAGUUUGCGGCUCAACCGUAGAAUUGCAGUUGAUACUGGCAGUCUUGAGUACAGUUGAGGUAGGCGGAAUUCGUGGUGUAGCGGUGAAAUGCUUAGAUAUCACGAAGAACUCCGAUUGCGAAGGCAGCUUACUAAACUGCAACUGACAUUGAUGCUCGAAAGUGUGGGUAUCAAACAGGAUUAGAUACCCCAGUAGUC
Molecule: ribosomal RNA, 460 nt
Filed under: uncultured bacterium
Lineage: Bacteria
Description: partial 16S ribosomal RNA
Rfam family: Bacterial small subunit ribosomal RNA
Source: RNAcentral